GGGGUAUAGCUCAGUGGUUAGAGCAGGGCGCUCAUAACGCCUUUGUCGGGGGUUCAAGUCCCUCUACCCC
RNAcentral lists this transfer RNA (70 nucleotides) under marine eukaryotic metagenome. It matches the Rfam family "tRNA". From Rfam's summary of the family: Transfer RNA (tRNA) molecules are approximately 80 nucleotides in length. Their secondary structure includes four short double-helical elements and three loops (D, anti-codon, and T loops). Further hydrogen bonds mediate the characteristic L-shaped molecular structure. tRNAs have two regions of fundamental functional importance: the anti-codon, which is responsible for specific mRNA codon recognition, and the 3' end, to which the tRNAs corresponding amino acid is attached (by aminoacyl-tRNA synthetases). tRNAs cope with the degeneracy of the genetic code in two manners: having more than one tRNA (with a specific anti-codon) for a particular amino acid; and 'wobble' base-pairing, i.e. permitting non-standard base-pairing at the 3rd anti-codon position. The record is from RNAcentral.